RNAcentral lists this unclassified non-coding RNA (416 nucleotides) under Hevea brasiliensis (rubber tree). The record is from RNAcentral. Lineage: Eukaryota; Viridiplantae; Streptophyta; Magnoliopsida; Malpighiales; Euphorbiaceae.
CUUGAGCCUUUAAUAACUAUGCUAUCAGAACUAAAGCAAAAGUUCACAAGAUAAAACUAUAUGCAAUACCUGAAAGAAUUUACAACAACACUGACUCACUGGUGAGCAUCAUCCUUCAUCAAUUCAACACUUCAACUUCAUUGAUCAUAUUAUUAGCUCAUGCCAGUGACAUUAAAGUUAGUCUUGGCAUCCAUGAGUUACCCAAUGCUCAACAAAAUUGUUUAACGUGCAUAGAUAUUGUGCAGAGUUCAAUUUAUGAUGAUUUUAACCAAUUUUGAAAGAACUAUUGCUACAGCAAGCACAACAGGGCAAAGAGAUUCAAAACUUUCCUUCUGUGAUUAUGACAGAAGAAAACGAUUCCAGUUUCAUCCAUUUUGACUAUUAAUAUCAACCUUCUACCGUAUAAUAUAAAAAAG